GGUUAAGCGACUAAGCGUACACGGUGGAUGCCCCCGGCAGUCAGAGGCGAUGAAGGACGUGCUAAUCUGCGAAAAGCGUCGGUAAGGUGAUAUGAACCGUUAUAACCGGCGAUGUCCGAAUGGGGAAACCCAGUGCAAUUCGUUGCACUAUCGUUAACUGAAUACAUAGGUUAACGAGGCGAACCGGGGGAACUGAAACAUCUAAGUACCCCGAGGAAAAGAAAUCAACCGAGAUUCCCCCCAGUAGCGGCGAGCGAACGGGGAGCAGCCCAGAGUCUGAAUCAGCUUGUGUGUUAGUGGAACGGUCUGGAAAGUCCGACGGUACAGGGUGAUAGUCCCGUACACCAAAAUGCACAGGCUGUGAACUCGAAGAGUAGGGCGGGACACGUGGUAUCCUGUCUGAAUAUGGGGGACCAUCCUCCAAGGCUAAAUACUCCUGACUGACCGAUAGUGAACCAGUACCGUGAGGGAAAGGCGAAAAGAACCCCGGCGAGGGGAGUGAAAAAGAACCUGAAACCGUGUACGUACAAGCAGUGGGAGCACCUUCGGGUGUGACUGCGUACCUUUGUAUAAUGGGUCAGCGACUUAUAUUCUGUAGCAAGGUUAACCGUAUAGGGGAGCCGCAGGGAAACCGAGUCUUAACUGGGCGUUAAGUUGCAGGGUAUAGACCCGAAACCCGGUGAUCUAGCCAUGGGCAGGUUGAAGGUUGGGUAACACUAACUGGAGGACCGAACCGACUAAUGUUGAAAAAUUAGCGGAUGACUUGUGGCUGGGGGUGAAAGGCCAAUCAAACCGGGAGAUAGCUGGUUCUCCCCGAAAGCUAUUUAGGUAGCGCCUCGUGAACUCAUCUUCGGGGGUAGAGCACUGUUUCGGCUAGGGGGUCAUCCCGACUUACCAACCCGAUGCAAACUACGAAUACCGAAGAAUGUUAUCACGGGAGACACACGGCGGGUGCUAACGUCCGUCGUGAAGAGGGAAACAACCCAGACCGCCAGCUAAGGUCCCAAAGUCAUGGUUAAGUGGGAAACGAUGUGGGAAGGCACAGACAGCCAGGGAUGUUGGCUUAGAAGCAGCCAUCAUUUAAAGAAAGCGUAAUAGCUCACUGGUCGAGUCGGCCUGCGCGGAAGAUGUAACGGGGCUAAACCAUGCACCGAAGCUGCGGCAGCGACACUAUGUGUUGUUGGGUAGGGGAGCGUUCUGUAAGCCUGCGAAGGUGUGCUGUGAGGCAUGCUGGAGGUAUCAGAAGUGCGAAUGCUGACAUAAGUAACGAUAAAGCGGGUGAAAAGCCCGCUCGCCGGAAGACCAAGGGUUCCUGUCCAACGUUAAUCGGGGCAGGGUGAGUCGACCCCUAAGGCGAGGCCGAAAGGCGUAGUCGAUGGGAAACAGGUUAAUAUUCCUGUACUUGGUGUUACUGCGAAGGGGGGGACGGAGAAGGCUAUGUUAGCCGGGCGACGGUUGUCCCGGUUUAAGCAUGUAGGCUGAUUGUCCGAGGCAAAUCCGGAUAAUCAAGGCUGAGGUGUGAUGACGAGGCACUACGGUGCUGAAGUAACAAAUGCCCUGCUUCCAGGAAAAGCCUCUAAGCAUCAGGUAACAUUAAAUCGUACCCCAAACCGACACAGGUGGUCAGGUAGAGAAUACCAAGGCGCUUGAGAGAACUCGGGUGAAGGAACUAGGCAAAAUGGUGCCGUAACUUCGGGAGAAGGCACGCUGGUGUGUAGGUGAAGUCCCUGCGGAUGGAGCUGAGACCAGUCGAAGAUACCAGCUGGCUGCAACUGUUUAUUAAAAACACAGCACUGUGCAAACACGAAAGUGGACGUAUACGGUGUGACGCCUGCCCGGUGCCGGAAGGUUAAUUGAUGGGGUUAUCCGUAAGGAGAAGCUCUUGAUCGAAGCCCCGGUAAACGGCGGCCGUAACUAUAACGGUCCUAAGGUAGCGAAAUUCCUUGUCGGGUAAGUUCCGACCUGCACGAAUGGCGUAAUGAUGGCCGUGCUGUCUCCACCCGAGACUCAGUGAAAUUGAACUCGCUGUGAAGAUGCAGUGUACCCGCGGCAAGACGGAAAGACCCCGUGAACCUUUACUAUAGCUUGACACUGAACAUUGAGCCUUGAUGUGUAGGAUAGGUGGGAGGCUUUGAAGCGUGGACGCCAGUCUGCGUGGAGCCAACCUUGAAAUACCACCCUUUAAUGUUUGAUGUUCUAACGUUGGCCCCUGACCGGGGUUGCGGACAGUGUCUGGUGGGUAGUUUGACUGGGGCGGUCUCCUCCCAAAGCGUAACGGAGGAGCACGAAGGUUAGCUAAUCCCCGGUCGGACAUCAGGAGGUUAGUGCAAUGGCAUAAGCUAGCUUGACUGCGAGCGUGACGGCGCGAGCAGGUGCGAAAGCAGGUCAUAGUGAUCCGGUGGUUCUGAAUGGAAGGGCCAUCGCUCAACGGAUAAAAGGUACUCCGGGGAUAACAGGCUGAUACCGCCCAAGAGUUCAUAUCGACGGCGGUGUUUGGCACCUCGAUGUCGGCUCAUCACAUCCUCGGGGGCUGAAGUAGGUCCCAAGGGUAUGGCUGUUCGCCAUUUAAAGUGGUACGCGAGCUGGGUUUAGAACGUCGUGAGACAGUUCGGUCCCUAUCUGCCGUGGGCGCUGGAGAAUUGAGGGGGCUGCUCCUAGUACGAGAGGACCGGAGUGGACGCAUCACUGGUGUUCGGGUUGUCAUGCCAAUGGCACUGCCCGGUAGCUAAAUGCGGAAGAGAUAAGUGCUGAAAGCAUCUAAGCACGAAACUUGCCCCGAGAUGAGUUCUCCCUGAGACUUUAAGUCUCCUGAAGGAACGUUAAAGACGAUGACGUUGAUAGGCCGGGUGUGUAAGCGCAGCGAUGCGUUGAGCUAACCGGUACUAAUGAACCGUGAGGCUUAACCUU
Molecule: ribosomal RNA, 2907 nt
Filed under: Klebsiella pneumoniae
Lineage: Bacteria; Pseudomonadati; Pseudomonadota; Gammaproteobacteria; Enterobacterales; Enterobacteriaceae
Description: 23S ribosomal RNA
Rfam family: Bacterial large subunit ribosomal RNA
Source: RNAcentral